RNAcentral lists this long non-coding RNA (815 nucleotides) under Mytilus galloprovincialis (Mediterranean mussel). The record is from RNAcentral. Lineage: Eukaryota; Metazoa; Mollusca; Bivalvia; Mytilida; Mytilidae.
ACAUUUUUUCACUGUUAAUAAGCCAUUAAGUAAACAAUUUUUUGCAGUCUUUUUUUUACAGACAAAAUUUAGUAUGAUGUUCAUUGCCAUAAAUGAUAUCUGCUUGUAAAAUACCAUUUAUAUCAUAAAUUAUACAUUCACUCUAAGAGUGGGUACGUAACAGCAUUUAUACCUUGUCCAUCUGUUUGUCCAGAAAUUUCAACCUGUCACACUUUUUUCUUCAUAUUUAGACAGCUGCUUGAACAUGGUAAAUUAAAUAAUAUGAGCUUUUUUCAGAUCUCUGAGACACCUACUUUCUUUUUACCAAUACUGGUAAAUUACUUCGAAUUUUUCAAUGUGUUGAAUUAACUUUUAAAAACAUUUCACAAUUUCUUGUACAUUUGUACUACUGAACGAGGAUGACUAAUAUUUAGUCAUCAGCUUAGCAAUGAUGAGUAGUUUAAAAAAAAAGAUAUGAUGCCUUGUUGGUUCUCUAAGACACUUCUUUCCUGUUUUUGAAUUUCAAUUGUAUAAAUGACAUGCAUGCAAUAUUUUUGUUGUCUGUUUUACAUUAAAGAACUUUAAGCCUUUCAUACAAUCAAACUGGAUUUUGCUGCUUUAGUUAUUUUAAACAACAAGUUUACAUUCCAAAAAAACUUCUUAUUUUAACAAUUAAUGAAGCCAUACACAGCUACUUUUGCAUAGGUAAUAUUUCUGUACUAAAAAUCUGUAGUACUGGAAAUUUACUUUUAAUAUUCAGUACUAUUUUGUUACUUUAAAAUUAUUGUAAUAUUUAGGUACCUGUUUUUUUACAGUACUUAUUUUCUACUUGAAAU